Molecule: ribosomal RNA, 264 nt
Filed under: uncultured bacterium
Lineage: Bacteria
Description: partial 16S ribosomal RNA
Rfam family: Bacterial small subunit ribosomal RNA
Source: RNAcentral
GUCCACGCCGUAAACGAUGGGCACUAGAUGUGGGCGGUGUCGACUCCGCCCGUGUCGCAGCUAACGCACUAAGUGCCCCGCCUGGGGAGUACGGCCGCAAGGCUAAAACUCAAAGGAAUUGACGGGGGCCCCGCACAAGCAGCGGAGCAUGUGGUUUAAUUCGACGCAACGCGAAGAACCUUACCUGGGCUUGACAUGUCAGUGAAAACCUUAGAGAUAAGGUCUCUCUUCGGAGCGCUGUCACAGGUGGUGCAUGGCUGUCGU